Non-coding RNA from Ictidomys tridecemlineatus (thirteen-lined ground squirrel), 69 nucleotides. NCBI's taxonomy places the organism in Eukaryota, Metazoa, Chordata, Mammalia, Rodentia, Sciuridae. The record is from Rfam.
GGGGUUGUAGCUCAGUGGUAGAGCACUUGCCUAGCAUGUGUAAGGAACUAGGUUCAAUCCUCAGCACCA